RNAcentral lists this ribosomal RNA (795 nucleotides) under uncultured bacterium. RNAcentral describes it as "bacterial SSU rRNA". It matches the Rfam family "Bacterial small subunit ribosomal RNA", at positions 8 to 796 of the family's 1533-position model. The record is from RNAcentral.
AGAGUUUGAUCCUGGCUCAGAUUGAACGCUGGCGGCGUGCCUAACACAUGCAAGUCGAGCGGUAACAGGUGUAGCAAUACAUGCUGACGAGCGGCGAACGGGUGAGUAAUGCUUUGGAAUCUUCCCAGUAGUGGGGAAUAACCAGUCGAAAGAUUGGCUAAUACCGCAUACGUCUGUAAAGGGAAAGCGGGGGCUCGUAAGACCUCGCGCUAUUGGAUGAGCCAAAGUCGGAUUAGCUAGUUGGUGGGGUAAUGGCCUACCAAGGCGACAAUCCGUAGCUGGUCUGAGAGGACGACCAGCCACACCGGAACUGAGACACGGUCCGGACUCCUACGGGAGGCAGCAGUGGGGAAUAUUGGACAAUGGGGGAAACCCUGAUCCAGCGACGCCGCGUGUGUGAAGAAGGCCUGCGGGUUGUAAAGCACUUUUAGUGGGGACAAAAAGCUACGGACUAAUACUCUGUGGUCUUGAUUUAACCCAAAGAAAAAGCACCGGCUAACUCUGUGCCAGCAGCCGCGGUAAUACAGAGGGUGCGAGCGUUAAUCGGAAUUACUGGGCGUAAAGCGCGCGUAGACGGUUUUGUAAGUCAGAUGUGAAAUCCCUGGGCUCAACCUGGGAACUGCAUUUGAGACUGCAUGGCUAGAGUAUCGAAGAGGGAAGUGGAAUUUCCGGUGUAGCGGUGAAAUGCGUAGAUAUCGGAAGGAACACCAGUGGCGAAAGCGACUUCCUGGUCGAAUACUGACGUUCAUGUGCGAAAGCGUGGGGAGCAAACAGGAUUAGAUACCCCCGUAGUCC